UACGUAGGGUGCGAGCGUUGUCCGGAAUUAUUGGGCGUAAAGAGCUCGUAGGCGGUCUGUCGCGUCGAUCGUGAAAACUUGGGGCUUAACCCUGAGCUUGCGGUCGAUACGGGCAUGACUGGAGUUCGGUAGGGGAGACUGGAAUUCCUGGUGUAGCGGUGAAAUGCGCAGAUAUCAGGAGGAACACCGGUGGCGAAGGCGGGUCUCUGGGCCGAAACUGACGCUGAGGAGCGAAAGCGUGGGGAGCGAACAGG
This 254-nucleotide ribosomal RNA is filed under the name uncultured bacterium. Its description in RNAcentral is "partial 16S ribosomal RNA". It matches the Rfam family "Bacterial small subunit ribosomal RNA", at positions 524 to 776 of the family's 1533-position model. The record is from RNAcentral.